Molecule: ribosomal RNA, 498 nt
Filed under: uncultured bacterium
Lineage: Bacteria
Description: partial 16S ribosomal RNA
Rfam family: Bacterial small subunit ribosomal RNA
Source: RNAcentral
GAUGAACGCUGGCGGCGUGCCUAAUACAUGCAAGUCGAGCGAACUUUUGGGAGCUUGCUCCCAAAAGUUAGCGGCGGACGGGUGAGUAACACGUGGGCAACCUGCCUGUAAGACUGGGAUAACUUCGGGAAACCGGAGCUAAUACCGGAUAACAUUCGAGACCACAUGGCCUUCAAUUAAAAGGUGGCUCUUAGCUACCACUUACAGAUGGACCCGCGGCGCCUUAGGUAGUUGGUGAGGGAACGGCUCACCAAGGCGACGAUGCGUAGCCGACCUGAGGGGGAGGUCGGGCAACCCUGGACUGGGACAACGGCCAGGCUCCUUCGGGGAGCAGGCAUAGGGGAACUUCCGCCAUGGGGGGCAGUCUGGCGGAGCCACGCCGGGGUGGGGGAGGAAGGCUUUGGGUCGGUAAGGUCCGUUUUUAGGGAAAAACAAGUAGCGUGCGAAUAGGGCGGUACCUUGACGGUACCUAACCAGAAAGCCACGGCUAACUACGUG